AAAGAUGAGAUUGAGAAACAAGUCAAUGAGAUGUUAGCUUCUGGACUGAUUAAACCCAGCAUGUCACCAUUUGCUUCUCCGGUGCUGUUAGUCAAAAAAAAAGAUGGGACAUGGAGAUUCUGUGUGGACUACAGAAGACUGAAUGCUUUGACAGUGAAGAACAAGUUCCCUAUGCCUGUAGUUGACGAAUUGCUUGAUGAGCUAGCUGGGGCAAAGUGGUUUUCUAAAUUGGACCUCAGAUCGGGAUAUCAUCAAAUAAGGAUGAUAGAGUCAGAUGAAGCGAAAACUGCAUUUAAAACUCAUCAUGGACAGUACCAAUUCAGAGUGAUGCCCUUUGGUCUCACAAAUGCUCCUGCAACUUUUCAGUGCCUGAUGAACAUCAUUUUUGGCAAAUAUGCAAGAAGAUUUGUUCUGAUUUUCAUGGAUGAUAUAUUAAUAUUCAGUGAAACACUGGAAGAACAUGAGGAACAUUUAAGACAAGUCUUACAAACUCUGAGGACCAACCAGUUGUAUGCAAAGAUGAGCAAAUGUUGUUUUGCAACCCAGCAAAUC
This 552-nucleotide ribosomal RNA is filed under the name Triticum aestivum (bread wheat). Its description in RNAcentral is "partial small subunit ribosomal RNA". Lineage: Eukaryota; Viridiplantae; Streptophyta; Magnoliopsida; Poales; Poaceae. The record is from RNAcentral.